UGACAUGAGUAGCGCUAAAGGGGGUGAAAAGCCCCCUCGCCGUAAGCGCAAGGUUUCCUACGCAACGUUCAUCGGCGUAGGGUGAGUCGGCCCCUAAGGCGAGGCAGAGAUGCGUAGCUGAUGGGAAACAGGUCAAUAUUCCUGUACCGAUGUGUAGUGCGAUGUGGGGACGGAGAUGGUUAACUCAGCCGGGUGUUGGAUGUCCCGGUUCAAGCCUGUAGUCGUGCCUGGUAGGCAAAUCCGCCGGGCUUAGAUGAGGGGUGAUAACGAGGCGGCUUGCCGCCGAAGUGAGCGAUACCCUGCUUCCAGGAAAAGCCACUAAGCUUCAGCUACACACGACCGUACCGCAAACCGACACUGGUGCGCGAGAUGAGUAUUCUAAGGCGCUUGAGAGAACUCUGGAGAAGGAACUCGGCAAAUUGACACCGUAACUUCGGAAGAAGGUGUGCCUUUAGUAGGUGAUCCAUUUACUUGGUGAGCCCAAUGAGGCCGCAGAGAAUCGGUGGCUGCAACUGUUUAAUAAAAACACAGCACUCUGCAAAGACGAAAGUCGACGUAUAGGGUGUGACGCCUGCCCGGUGCUGGAAGAUUAAAUGAUGGGGUGCAAGCUCUUGAUUGAAGUCCCAGUAAACGGCGGCCGAAACAAUAACGGUCCUAAGGUAGCGAAAUUCCUUGUCGGGUAAGUUCCGACCUGCACGAAUGGCGUAAUGAUGGCCACACUGUCUCCUCCAGAGACUCAGCGAAGUUGAAAUGUUUGUGAUGAUGCAAUCUCCCCGCGGAAAGACGGAAAGACCCCAUGAACCUUUACUGUAGCUUUACAUUGGACUUUGAACAGAUCUGUGUAGGAUAGGUGGGAGGCUUUGAAGCGGUGCCGCUAGGUGUCGUGGAGCCAACCUUGAAAUACCACCCUGGUGUGUUUGAGGUUCUAACCUUGGCCCGUUAUCCGGGUUGGGGACAGUGUAUGGUGGGCAGUUUGACUGGGGCGGUCUCCUCCCAAAGUGUAACGGAGGAGUUCGAAGGUACGCUAAAUACGGUCGGAAAUCGUGUUGAUAGUGCAUUGGCAUAAGCGUGCUUGACUGCGAGACUGACAAGUCGAGCAGGUACGAAAGUAGGACAAAGUGAUCCGGUGGUUCUGUAUGGAAGGGCCAUCGCUCAACGGAUAAAAGGUACUCUGGGGAUAACAGGCUGAUACCGCCCAAGAGUUCAUAUCGACGGCGGUGUUUGGCACCUCGAUGUCGGCUCAUCUCAUCCUGGGGCUGUAGCCGGUCCCAAGGGUAUGGCUGUUCGCCAUUUAAAGAGGUACGUGAGCUGGGUUUAAAACGUCGUGAGACAGUUUGGUCCCUAUCUUCCGUGGGCGCUGCAAGAUUGAGAGAGCCUGCUCCUAGUACGAGAGGACCGGAGUGGACGCACCUCUGGUGUAUCGGUUGUCACGCCAGUGGCAUUGCCGAGUAGCUAAGUGCGGAAGAGAUAACCGCUGAAAGCAUCUAAGCGGGAAACUCGUCUCAAGAUGAGUCUUGCCGGGGCCUUGAGCCCCCUGAAGGGUCGUUCGAGACCAGGACGUUGAUAGGUCGGGUGUGGAAGCGCAGUAAUGCGUUAAGCUAACCGAUACUAAUUGCCCGUGAGGCUUGAC
This 1630-nucleotide ribosomal RNA is filed under the name metagenome. RNAcentral's name for it is "bacterial LSU rRNA". It matches the Rfam family "Bacterial large subunit ribosomal RNA", at positions 1298 to 2925 of the family's 2925-position model. The record is from RNAcentral.